GGGGAUAACAUUUGGAAACAGAUGCUAAUACCGCAUAGAUCCAAGAACCGCAUGGUUCUUGGCUGAAAGAUGGCGUAAGCUAUCGCUUUUGGAUGGACCCGCGGCGUAUUAGCUAGUUGGUGAGGUAAUGGCUCACCAAGGCGAUGAUACGUAGCCGAACUGAGAGGUUGAUCGGCCACAUUGGGACUGAGACACGGCCCAAACUCCUACGGGAGGCAGCAGUAGGGAAUCUUCCACAAUGGACGCAAGUCUGAUGGAGCAACGCCGCGUGAGUGAAGAAGGCUUUCGGGUCGUAAAACUCUGUUGUUGGAGAAGAAUGGUCGGCAGAGUAACUGCUGUCGGCGUGACGGUAUCCAACCAGAAAGCCACGGCUAACUACGUGCCAGCAGCCGCGGUAAUACGUAGGUGGCAAGCGUUAUCCGGAUUUAUUGGGCGUAAAGCGAGCGCAGGCGGUUUUUUAAGUCUGAUGUGAAAGCCCUCGGCUUAACCGAGGAAGCGCAUCGGAAACUGGGAAACUUGAGUGCAGAAGAGGACAGUGGAACUCCAUGUGUAGCGGUGAAAUGCGUAGAUAUAUGGAAGAACACCAGUGGCGAAGGCGGCUGUCUGGUCUGUAACUGACGCUGAGGCUCGAAAGCAUGGGUAGCGAACAGGAUUAGAUACCCUGGUAGUCCAUGCCGUAAACGAUGAAU
Molecule: ribosomal RNA, 689 nt
Filed under: uncultured bacterium
Lineage: Bacteria
Description: bacterial SSU rRNA
Rfam family: Bacterial small subunit ribosomal RNA
Source: RNAcentral